This 373-nucleotide ribosomal RNA is filed under the name uncultured eukaryote. RNAcentral's name for it is "partial 18S ribosomal RNA". It matches the Rfam family "Eukaryotic small subunit ribosomal RNA", at positions 592 to 976 of the family's 1831-position model. The record is from RNAcentral.
CAAUAGCGUAUAUUAAAGUUGUUGCAGUUAAAAAGCUCGUAGUUGGAUUUCUGGGAGGAUGCCAAUGUCCGCCCUCGUGCGUGUGCAGCGGCGUCUUUCCAUCCUUCUGUUGACAUCUCUUGGCAUUCAUUUGCUGGUGAUGGGCUCAGAUAUUUUACCUUGAGAAAAUUAGAGUGUUUCAGGCAGGCUAGGCCGGAAUACAUUAGCAUGGAAUAAUGGAAUAGGACUACGGUCUCUUUGUUGGUUUGAGGGACUGCAGUAAUGAUUAAUAGGGAUAGUUGGGGGCAUUAGUAUUUAAUAGUCAGAGGUGGAAUUCUCGGAUUUGUUAAAGACUAACUUAUGCGAAAGCAUUUGCCAAGGAUGUUUUCAUUAA